CCUACGGGUGGCAGCAGUUGGGAAUAUUGCGCAAUGGGCGAAAGCCUGACGCAGCGACGCCGCGUGAGGGAUGAAGGUCUUCGGAUCGUAAACCUCUGUCAGCAGGGAAGAACGGUCACUGUGCUAAUCAGCAGUGAAUUGACGGUACCUGCAAAGGAAGCACCGGCUAACUCCGUGCCAGCAGCCGCGGUAAUACGGAGGGUGCGAGCGUUAAUCGGAAUUACUGGGCGUAAAGCGCUCGUAGGCGGUAUGUCAAGUCAAGGGUGAAAUCCCCGCGCUCAACGUGGGAACUGCAUUUGAAACUGGCAAACUGGAGUGUGUGAGAGGAUAGUGGAAUUCCAGGUGUAGGAGUGAAAUGCGUAGAUAUCUGGAGGAACAUCAGUGGCGAAGGCGACUAUCUGGCACAUAACUGACGCUGAGGAGCGAAAGCGUGGGUAGCAAACAGGAUUAGAUACCCCAGUAGUC
RNAcentral lists this ribosomal RNA (465 nucleotides) under uncultured bacterium. Its description in RNAcentral is "partial 16S ribosomal RNA". It matches the Rfam family "Bacterial small subunit ribosomal RNA", at positions 338 to 795 of the family's 1533-position model. The record is from RNAcentral.